RNAcentral lists this ribosomal RNA (253 nucleotides) under uncultured bacterium. RNAcentral's name for it is "partial 16S ribosomal RNA". It matches the Rfam family "Bacterial small subunit ribosomal RNA", at positions 524 to 776 of the family's 1533-position model. The record is from RNAcentral.
UACGGAGGGUGCAAGCGUUAUCCGGAUUCACUGGGUUUAAAGGGUGCGUAGGUGGGUCUGUAAGUCAGUGGUGAAAUCUCCAAGCUUAACUUGGAAACUGCCGUUGAUACUAUAGAUCUUGAAUUUUCUGGAGGUAAGCGGAAUAUGUCAUGUAGCGGUGAAAUGCUUAGAUAUGACAUAGAACACCAACUGCGAAGGCAGCUUACUACGGGAACAUUGACACUGAGGCACGAAAGCGUGGGGAUCAAACAGG